GACGAACGCUGGCGGCGUGCUUAACACAUGCAAGUCGAACGGUAAGGCCCUUCGGGGUACACGAGUGGCGAACGGGUGAGUAACACGUGGGUGAUCUGCCCUGCACUUCGGGAUAAGCCUGGGAAACUGGGCCUAAUACCGGAUAGAACUCCGAACUGCAGGGCCUGGGUGGGAAAGCUUUUGCGGUGUGGGAUGGGCCCGCGGCCUAUCAGCUUGUUGGUGGGGUGAUGGCCUACCAAGGCGACGACGGGUAGCCGGCCUGAGAGGGUGACCGGCCACACUGGGACUGAGAUACGGCCCAGACUCCUACGGGAGGCAGCAGUGGGGAAUAUUGCACAAUGGGCGCAAGCCUGAUGCAGCGACGCCGCGUGAGGGAUGACGGCCUUCGGGUUGUAAACCUCUUUCAGCAUCGACGAAGCGAAAGUGACGGUAGGUGCAGAAGAAGGACCGGCCAACUACGUGCCAGCCGCCGCGGUAA
Molecule: ribosomal RNA, 478 nt
Filed under: uncultured bacterium
Lineage: Bacteria
Description: partial 16S ribosomal RNA
Rfam family: Bacterial small subunit ribosomal RNA
Source: RNAcentral